This 499-nucleotide ribosomal RNA is filed under the name uncultured bacterium. RNAcentral's name for it is "partial 16S ribosomal RNA". It matches the Rfam family "Bacterial small subunit ribosomal RNA", at positions 28 to 507 of the family's 1533-position model. The record is from RNAcentral.
GACGAACGCUGGCGGCGUGCCUAAUACAUGCAAGUCGAGCGGACCAACCAGGAGCUUGCUCUUGUUUGGUUAGCGGCGGACGGGUGAGUAACACGUGGGUAACCUGCCCGUAAGACCGGGAUAACUCCGGGAAACCGGAGCUAAUACCGGAUAACACCGAAGACCGCAUGGUCUUUGGUUGAAAGGCGGCUUCGGCUGCCACUUACGGAUGGGCCCGCGGCGCAUUAGCUAGUUGGUGAGGUAACGGCUCACCAAGGCGACGAUGCGUAGCCGGCCUGAGAGGGUGACCGGCCACACUGGGACUGAGACACGGCCCAGACUCCUACGGGAGGCAGCAGUAGGGAAUCUUCCGCAAUGGACGAAAGUCUGACGGAGCGACGCCGCGUGAGCGAAGAAGGUCGUCGGAUCGUAAAGCUCGGUUGUUAGGGAAGAAGAAGCGCCGUUCGAACGGGGCGGCGCGGUGACGGUACCUAACGAGAAAGCCCCGGCUAACUACGUG